RNAcentral lists this ribosomal RNA (301 nucleotides) under uncultured bacterium. RNAcentral's name for it is "partial 16S ribosomal RNA". It matches the Rfam family "Bacterial small subunit ribosomal RNA", at positions 509 to 807 of the family's 1533-position model. The record is from RNAcentral.
CAGUAGCCGCGGUAAUACGAAGGGUGCAAGCGUUAAUCGGAAUUACUGGGCGUAAAGCGUGCGUAGGCGGUGAGUUAAGUCUGCUGUGAAAUCCCCGGGCCCAACCUGGGAAUGGCAGUGGAUACUGGCUCGCUAGAGUGUGUCAGAGGAUGGUGGAAUUCCCGGUGUAGCGGUGAAAUGCGUAGAGAUCGGGAGGAACAUCAGUGGCGAAGGCGGCCAUCUGGGACAACACUGACGCUGAGGCACGAAAGCGUGGGGAGCAAACAGGAUUAGAUACCCCGGUAGUCCCUGUCUCUUAUAC